UGGGGAAUAUUGGGCAAUGGGCGAAAGCCUGACCCAGCAACGCCGCGUGAGUGAUGAAGGCCUUCGGGUUGUAAAACUCUUUGGACAGGGACGAAGAAAGUGACGGUACCAUAAGAAAAAGCCCCGGCUAACUACGUGCCAGCAGCCGCGGUAAUACGUAGGGGGCUAGCGUUGUCCGGAAUCACUGGGCGUAAAGGGUUCGCAGGCGGAAAUGCAAGUCAGGUGUAAAAGGCAGUAGCUUAACUACUGUAAGCAUUUGAAACUGCAUAUCUUGAGAAGAGUAGAGGUAAGUGGAAUUUUUAGUGUAGCGGUGAAAUGCGUAGAUAUUAAAAAGAAUACCGGUGGCGAAGGCGACUUACUGGGCUCAUUCUGACGCUGAGGAACGAAAGCGUGGGUAGCAAACAGG
RNAcentral lists this ribosomal RNA (406 nucleotides) under Verrucomicrobiota bacterium. RNAcentral describes it as "Verrucomicrobia bacterium partial 16S ribosomal RNA". It matches the Rfam family "Bacterial small subunit ribosomal RNA", at positions 355 to 776 of the family's 1533-position model. The record is from RNAcentral. Lineage: Bacteria; Pseudomonadati; Verrucomicrobiota.